This 234-nucleotide ribosomal RNA is filed under the name uncultured bacterium. RNAcentral describes it as "partial 16S ribosomal RNA". It matches the Rfam family "Bacterial small subunit ribosomal RNA", at positions 15 to 229 of the family's 1533-position model. The record is from RNAcentral.
GAUCAUGGCUCAGGAUGAACGCUGGCGGCGUGCUUAACACAUGCAAGUCGAACGAAGCACUUUAUUUGAUUUCCUUCGGGACUGAUUAUUUUGUGACUGAGUGGCGGACGGGUGAGUAACGCGUGGGUAACCUGCCUUGUACAGGGGGAUAACAGUUGGAAACGGCUGCUAAUACCGCAUAAGCGCACAGCAUCGCAUGAUGCAGUGUGAAAAAUUCCGGUGGUAUAAGAUCGG